CCACCCACACCAAGAGCCCCCAGUGUCGCCGGCCACCCCAGCUCGGCCCGCCCGGCGACACUCGGGGCUCUUGGCGUGGGCCA
RNAcentral lists this microRNA precursor (83 nucleotides) under Columba livia (rock pigeon). RNAcentral's name for it is "microRNA cli-mir-9630 precursor". Lineage: Eukaryota; Metazoa; Chordata; Aves; Columbiformes; Columbidae. The record is from miRBase by way of RNAcentral.